GAUGGGAGAUGGCCCAAGGCCGCGCACCAGGUGGGGAUGAUAAGGGGCCGCAAGGCCGGUGCCCGUCGGGGGCGAGGGAAGCCCGGCCCCGCCCCGGGGGUAUUUAAGGCCACUGCCCGGGGGCUGCCCCGGGUCCGGUGCGAUGGCCGAGGAGGCGAUGGCGAGCUACCUGUACGCUGCCUACCACCCCUACUCCUACCGCUUCCCGCCGCCCAAGGGCAAAGGAGGGGCGGCGGGCGGCUGGCGCCCGCGGGGCAGCGGCAGCAGCGGCAGCUACUUCCCGGGCUACGGGGAGGCGGCCGCCGAGUACUUCGACAACUACCAGCGGGCGCAGCUGAAGGCCAUCCUCUCCCAGGUGAACCCCAACCUGACGCCGCGGCUCCGCAAGGCCAACACCAAGGAGGUGGGCGUGCAGGUGAACCCGCGGCAGGACGCCUCGGUGCAGUGCUCGCUCGGGCCCCGCACGCUGCUGCGCCGCCGCCCCGGCCCCGCCGCGCCGCGGCCCCGUGAGGCGGAGCAGGAGCUGGGCAGCCCCGCCACCACCAACACCCGCGCCGUGCGCUUCCCCCGCACCAUCGCCGUCUACUCGCCCGUGGCGUCCCGCAGACUCACCGCCUUGCUGGAGGAGCCGAGCCCGGAGCCGGAGCGGCGGCCGCAGCAGCAGGACAAGGCGGCGGCCGUCGAGCAGGAGCCGGCCGCGCUGUGGGAGCAGCGGGCGGCGGAGGCGGCUGCCGUGCGGGCCAGCUGGGAGAAGCCCCCCGAGGGUGGCGCCGAGCCGCUGGAGCAGCGCCCGGCCGAGCCUCUCGGGCAGCGCUCGCCCGCCCCCCCGGAGCCGGCGACGGAGGCAAGCCAGGAGGAGCCGGCAGAGGUAGCCCAGGCGGAGGCGGCAGAGCCGUCAGUCCAAGCGGAGCCGUCAGCCCAGCCCGCAGAGGCAGCGGAGCCGCCAGCCCAGCCCGCGGAGCCGCCGGCCUCAGCCCAGAAGCAGCAGUCGUCGGCGGGCAAGACCCGCCUGCGCUUCCAGUUUCUGGAGCAGAAGUACGGGUACUACCACUGCAAGGCCUGCAACAUCCGCUGGGAGAGCGCCUACGUCUGGUGCGUCCAGGGCACCAACAAGGUCUAUUUCCGUCAGUUCUGCCGGACCUGCCAGAAGUCCUACAACCCGUACCGCGUGGAGGACAUCACCUGCCAGAGCUGCAAGCAGACGCGGUGCACCUGCCCCGUGAAGAUGCGCCACGUGGAUCCCAAGAGGCCCCACCGCCAGGACCUCUGUGGGAGAUGCAAAGGGAAACGCCUCUCCUGCGAUAGCACGUUCAGCUUCAAAUACAUCAUCUGAAUGGGAUGGGAUUUUUUUGUUUGUUUGUUUUUUGUUUAGGGCUCGUCAAGAAAACUGCAAGUAGAGCAGAUUUGUUUUGUUGUUGUUUUUGUUGAUAUUGUUGAAGGUACUUGGUGAGAUGUAGCUAGGAAAACAUGAAAAUAAAAGUAUUGCAAAGCAUACUCAAAUGAUCAGGUGGGUUUGUGCUCAGCUUAGAGGGUGCAUAUUGUAAAUUCUGUAACUUGCAUAGGCAACGAGCCUAGAGGUGUAUUGUAAUUCAGUGAUGGCCUUGGAAGCAACUGACUCAGGACUUUGUAGACUCUCAGGUGGAAAGGGUUUCUGUUACUGCUCCUGCUCUUGAACUAAUCAAAUUCUUGAAGUUAACAUCAAAUGGAUGUCUGCGUAGAUAGUAGACCAUCCUUUAUGAUUAACAAAACACCAGUAGUAUUCACUUAUUUUGCACACCUCUAGUCAACUUACAAACUAUCCUGCACCUGUUCUUCAUCACUAGGAAAUUAUUGAGAAAUGCAGUGUAAGUACUGAAUCACUUCUACUGGUACAGCUGGCCUGCAUUUGGCUAAGUUGGUGUUCUUGUCUGUAGGUAAAAGACAAAGAAGGCUUUGCAGGGAUGCUCUCACAAAAUGCUGAGGAACAGAGUCACUGCUGUUAUGGCGAUGGUCUCUUGGUAAAUGUGUUGCUCAUCUUACUUGCACAAGGUUAUGGAGGGAAGUGACACUUCAGAGGAGCAAGGUGCAGUAACACUGCAUCUGCUUGGCUUCACUUUUAACUUGCAGGUGAAGUGCAAGAGCUGUGCACUUGGUGGAUUAUACUUGAAGAGUUUGAUCCAAUUACAGUUUAGAUGCCUACCAUCAGAAGGAUUGACACUCCCACACUCCUCUGGGGUUGGGCUUGCAGCUAGGAAUUGUACUUGUCCUGUUUGGUAGGAAUGGCAGAACCAGCACUGGUGAUGUGCAGAUGAUGCUCUCUGUGGGCUAUUGGUGCUCUCUAUAGCAACACCAUGCUUCAGCCAAGUGUUACAAGGUGACUGACUUACAGCAUUCCCAUCUGAGCAGUUCACAAGCUAGUAAAACCUGCACCACUGCCCCAGUCUACCUUUUAGCUGUAGAGCUGAAAAAACUUAGAUGAAAACCUAUUCUUCUGAGAAUGCUACUGGCACUGUUAAUUUUUAGAUUGAGCGUAGUCACCAAACCUUUUGCAGAACUCUGAGGUAACUUCUCUUUUGAAAGAGUGAUUUUUAUAUUUGCUAUAGCAAACUUACCUAC
Molecule: RNA transcript, 2595 nt
Organism: Passer montanus (Eurasian tree sparrow)
Lineage: Eukaryota; Metazoa; Chordata; Aves; Passeriformes; Passeridae
Gene: ZAR1
Gene name: zygote arrest 1
Exons: 6
Source: RefSeq, a predicted model, not a curated record